Molecule: ribosomal RNA, 207 nt
Filed under: uncultured bacterium
Lineage: Bacteria
Description: partial 16S ribosomal RNA
Rfam family: Bacterial small subunit ribosomal RNA
Source: RNAcentral
AGCGUAGAUGGAUGUUUAAGUCAGUUGUGAAAGUUUGCGGCUCAACCGUAAAAUUGCAGUUGAUACUGGCUGUCUUGAGUACAGUAGAGGUGGGCGGAAUUCGUGGUGUAGCGGUGAAAUGCUUAGAUAUCACGAAGAACUCCGAUUGCGAAGGCAGCUCACUGGACUGCAACUGACACUGAUGCUCGAAAGUGUGGGUAUCAAACA